UACAGAGGGUGCAAGCGUUAAUCGGAAUUACUGGGCGUAAAGGGUGCGUAGGUGGUUUGAUAAGUUAGGUGUGAAAGCCCCGGGCUCAACCUGGGAACGGCAUUGGAAACUGGCUUGCUGGAGUGUGGCAGAGGGGGGUGGAAUUCCGCGUGUAGCAGUGAAAUGCGUAGAUAUUCGGAAGAACACCAGUGGCGAAGGCGGCUCACUGGUCCGGUACUGACGCUGAUGUGCGAAAGCGUGGGGAGCAAACAGG
Molecule: ribosomal RNA, 253 nt
Filed under: uncultured bacterium
Lineage: Bacteria
Description: partial 16S ribosomal RNA
Rfam family: Bacterial small subunit ribosomal RNA
Source: RNAcentral